Molecule: ribosomal RNA, 301 nt
Filed under: uncultured bacterium
Lineage: Bacteria
Description: partial 16S ribosomal RNA
Rfam family: Bacterial small subunit ribosomal RNA
Source: RNAcentral
CAGCAGCCGCGGGAAUGCGUAGGGGGCAAGCGUUAUCCGGAAUUACUGGGUGUAAAGGGAGCGUAGACGGUUAAACAAGUCUGAAGUGAAAUGCCGGGGCUCAACCCCGGAGCUGCUUUGGGAACUGUAGAACUGGAGUGUCGGAGGGGUAAGCGGAAUUCCCAGUGUAGCGGUGAAAUGCGUAGAUAUUGGGAGGAACACCGGCGGCGAAGGCGGCUUACUGGACGACAACUGACGUUGAGGCUCGAAGGCGUGGGGAGCAAACAGGAUUAGAGACCCGAGUAGUCCCUGUCUCUUAUAC